CACCGGCGGCUCGAGUGGUGGCCACUUUUAUUGGGUCUAAAGCGUCCGUAGACGGCUUGGCAAGUCCCCUGGGAAAUCUGGCGGCUUAACCGUCAGGCGUCCAGAGGAUACUGCCAGGCUUGGGACCGGGAGAGGUGAGAGGUACCUCAGGGGUAGGGGUGAAAUCUUGUGAUCCCUGAGGGACCACCAGUGGCGAAGGCGUCUCACUAGAGCGGGUCCGACGGUCAGGGACGAAAGCUGGGGGCACGAACCGU
RNAcentral lists this ribosomal RNA (254 nucleotides) under uncultured microorganism. RNAcentral's name for it is "partial 16S ribosomal RNA". It matches the Rfam family "Archaeal small subunit ribosomal RNA", at positions 474 to 727 of the family's 1478-position model. The record is from RNAcentral.